Molecule: long non-coding RNA, 1324 nt
Organism: Xiphophorus couchianus (Monterrey platyfish)
Lineage: Eukaryota; Metazoa; Chordata; Actinopteri; Cyprinodontiformes; Poeciliidae
Exons: 2
Source: RefSeq, a predicted model, not a curated record
AACUUUUGAGGAUUUCCACUGAAACUUAAACUGUAGCCUCAAACAGAAAAUCCCCGCGAAAAAGCAAACAUAGAAUAUAUACGAUUAUAAAUAUUAUUGUCGAAACAUAAUUUAAGAAAAUGAAUUAACACAUUAAAGGCCAACUUACUAUCAUUUCUUCAUUAAUAGCGGUUUAUAUAUUAGCAACAAGCUAGCGGUAGCCUCAACUGUCUGGAUUCACAGAACGUAAAGAUGUGCCGAGUGCGACUGAAACUUUCGCCUGACAGAAAAUCCCCGCGAGAAAAAAAACCCCAUAGAAUAAAUAGUCUUUUCGAAACAGAAUUUAAAAAAUGGUCUUAAUUUAAAGGAGUGUUACUUUUUUUUUUUUUAAUGAAGUGAGACUUCCAAAGAAGUGGUCGGACAUUUCAGGAGGCGCGCCGCGGACACCCCGACUCUCCCCCCGCCUUUCAGCAAAGUCAACUUGAGCGUGUCUGUUUGCUCAGCGGCUCAGGCACAGUUCACCCCGCUGAAGAUAAACACCACGGAGCGGCACGUCCCCUACUCCUUACGCCGGGAUUACCUCCCGGAUGCGGACGUCACCUCACGCCGUGUUCCCAUCACACACACAGAAAGCUGAUAGCGGAGCCGUCACCAGAUCUACAGUAAACAUGUUUACGCCUUGAUUUAUCCCCCGAAAGCUGCCAGCAAUCUAUUUCAGGGCGCAGCACAACAUCCUGCAUGCAUUUCCAUAAAUCCAGAUGAGCUUCCUGUCCACUGAGGCGCAGGAAACAUUCUCUGGGCGGACAAAGUCAUUCAUUAAUUAUCAGGCGGGACGCGGCGUACUGGCCGGCCUCCGUGUUAAUUAGCAGGACCUUUGGACCCAUUAAGGCCCGUGGGAAGCCGCCAUUAUGCUUCCUAUCGGGCCAAGAGGUUAUUCAAAGCAAACGUUCAGCCGUCAAUCAGUGUGCUCCAGCAGGGUUGCCAGGUUGGACGGGUCUCUACCCAAGUCUGAAGUUGUUUGCUGUCAAAAUUGGAUCUGGUUCUGAAUACCAACAAUGUUUUAAAUCAGUGGAGCCCAGAGUGGGUCCUUGAGGGCUGCAUGUUUUAGUUCUCUCCCUGGUUUAACGCUCAAAUGAUGGCUCAUUAGAGGCCUAAGAAGAACAUUGACAUGCUGAAAAGGUUGUUGGUACAACCAGGGAGAGAACUAAACCAUGCAGGAUGCCGGCCCUCCAGGACCAACUUCGGCCCCCCCGUUUAAAAUUAUCACAAGUUUAUAAAUGCAGUCGAUGACCUAAAGCAUAAAUUGUAUUCUUUAUAUCCGAGUAUUAGAGUCACUCAAAGAAAA